Molecule: long non-coding RNA, 516 nt
Filed under: Canis lupus dingo (dingo)
Lineage: Eukaryota; Metazoa; Chordata; Mammalia; Carnivora; Canidae
Description: lncRNA (ENSCAFG00020008482.1)
Source: RNAcentral
GGGGAGGUCCUGAGCUGGGAUUUUGACAAGCCCGUUACGUAAGCCGGAGGUGGCCUUCCGGAAUCCCACCUGCUCGAGAUUUUAAACAGGCGGCAGCGGGAGCCUGCGUGGCUCCCCGAGGCCCGAUUUUCCUCCCAGGCAGGGGUCGGCUUGGCCAACCCCGGCCAGCGUGGGGCCGGGUUACGGUUCAAGUUGUAUUUCUCAAACUCUGAGGCUUGUAGAAUUCAGAAAUUAAGACCUGGCAUCAUUUUCAGGGAAAGACCUUCAGUAAUGUCUCUUAAAAGAAUUUGGCAUAUAUUCACCACAUAAUGAUUACGAAUAACAAGUGAUACAAUAUAGCUUUAUUGAAAGAUGUCUUAAGAUACACCCUGGGUCGGGACACCUGGGUGGCUCAGCGGUUGGGUGUCUGUCUGCAUUUGGCUCAGGUGUGAUCCCCGGAUCUGGGAUCAAGUCCCAUAUGGGGCUCCCUGCGUGGAGCCUGCUUCUCCCUCUGCCUGUGUCUCUGCUUCCUUCUCU